This 72-nucleotide transfer RNA is filed under the name Hortaea werneckii EXF-2000. RNAcentral's name for it is "tRNA-Ser (AGA) (tRNA-Ser-AGA-3-1)". It matches the Rfam family "tRNA". Rfam says of the family: Transfer RNA (tRNA) molecules are approximately 80 nucleotides in length. Their secondary structure includes four short double-helical elements and three loops (D, anti-codon, and T loops). Further hydrogen bonds mediate the characteristic L-shaped molecular structure. tRNAs have two regions of fundamental functional importance: the anti-codon, which is responsible for specific mRNA codon recognition, and the 3' end, to which the tRNAs corresponding amino acid is attached (by aminoacyl-tRNA synthetases). tRNAs cope with the degeneracy of the genetic code in two manners: having more than one tRNA (with a specific anti-codon) for a particular amino acid; and 'wobble' base-pairing, i.e. permitting non-standard base-pairing at the 3rd anti-codon position. The record is from RNAcentral. Lineage: Eukaryota; Fungi; Ascomycota; Dothideomycetes; Mycosphaerellales; Teratosphaeriaceae.
GGCGCGGUAGCAAAGUGGUUACUGCGAUUGACUAGAACUCUAAGGGCGCAGGUUCGAAUCCUGCCCGCGUCG